UACGUAGGGUGCAAGCGUUAAUCGGAAUUACUGGGCGUAAAGGGUGCGUAGGCGGCCCUGUAAGUCAGUGGUGAAAUACUGCAGCUUAACUGUAGCAUUGCCAUUGAUACUGUAGGGCUUGAGUACAGAUGAGGUAGGCGGAAUUGAUGGUGUAGCGGUGAAAUGCAUAGAUACCAUCAAGAACACCGAUUGCGAAGGCAGCUUACUAAGCUGUAACUGACGCUGAGGCACGAAAGCGUGGGGAUCGAACAGG
Molecule: ribosomal RNA, 253 nt
Filed under: uncultured bacterium
Lineage: Bacteria
Description: partial 16S ribosomal RNA
Rfam family: Bacterial small subunit ribosomal RNA
Source: RNAcentral